Gallus gallus (chicken) is the source of this 2407-nucleotide long non-coding RNA. RefSeq lists it as uncharacterized. The transcript has 5 exons. NCBI's taxonomy places the organism in Eukaryota, Metazoa, Chordata, Aves, Galliformes, Phasianidae. The record is from RefSeq and is a predicted model, not a curated record.
CUUGGAUUUAUCCAAAUAUCAGCUUGAGUGUGGUGAGGUGAGAGAAUUUUUACCAAGCCACGGCUUUGGUUGUGCCAUUUUAUUUCACUGUUCAUCUAGCUCUCUGUGUCUAGAAGUAACUAUGAAGUCUGACUAGAGCAGGCUUUGCUGAUUUGGCUAUAAAACAACCUGCCAAGCUGCAGCUGUGUGUGUGGAGGGGCCCACCCCUCUAGCACACAUCUCCAUGGCUCACCCGUUACACAGCUGUAAAGCCCCAGCUAACUCACCUGCCUGCUGCACGUCCUUCCUGCAGCAGUCCUGGCUUGCUGCUCCAUGGGGAGGCUGCUGGGUGUGGGGUCUGCUCAUCCCAGCGUCCACACACCUCGCAUGCAGCACGCGGGCAGCAUCAGCAGAAGCCCAACCAUGGCAGUAUUCGUUAAUGGAUGUGCAGCAUGCUGCAGCUUCUGUCAUCCUGGGCUGAGUGAAGGGGAGUGUUCAUUUCACUGAGGUUUGUUGUUACUCUUUCUAAUUUUGUUUGCUUUUUUUUUUUCCUUAUGAACCAUGGUCUUGUUUAGAAGUUUCCUCUCUCUGGUGGGAGAGAAUUGAAAUGCUCUGUUUGGCAGUGUGGGUGAACCACACCAGCUGCAUGCCAACCAGCAUGCGAGCAGUGUGCAGGCACCGCAGCCAUCCAGUCCAGCCCUCAGCAAGUGGCCUUAGAGGAAAACCCCUGCAUCCACUCCCUGAGUGUAGUGCAGCUACCUGGAGGGGUGACCUGGCACUAGUCUGGGUUGAGCUGGCUUUAGGAAUGUUUCUGCAAGCCUUGUGAUGUUUGGUCACCUGCAUCACCUGCCUCCAGCUGUUGGAGUUCUGUGGUCACUGUAUUUUAUGUAUAUGAUUGUGUGAUGAUAUGGUGUUAUGUAUUUAUACGUGUUUAUGCACAUGGUUAAGUGAUGAGUUUGCUUAUCUGCACGCUUUUAGGAGGACUGGCACUUUGAAACCCUCUCUGUUAGGAACUGGGCUUGGCAGAAAUGUGUAUUCUUAGCAAAGAGGAGUUGUACUUACAAACUUGCUUUACUGGCAAGUACGUGGUAGCCUGUAGGGCAUCAAAUGCUUUGGAAAAGCAUUGAUGCAGUCAGGUUGAGCUUUGCCUCCCUGUGGCCUUCAAAAAGCAAACAGAAACGAGCAGGGUUUGCUCUACAAGCAGCAACAACCCCACAGGCUCUGCCUGUGUGCAGCAGUGGAGCGGCCCUGGCCUGGCCCUGCCCAUUGUUGUGUGCCUUCUAUCUUUUUUGCUGGCAGGUAGGUGGUUAAUUACUUGGAGGUUGCAAGCUGAAGUCUUAUUUUUCAUAUGUGACUUAGUAAUUAAAUUCCCCCAGUUGAUAUUACAUAAUGUAAGUAACAGCGACAUCAUUUUAGAAGAAUAGUCAGAUCUGACAGACAGUUUAAAGUAAUUUCACUCUAUAUUGGAGUCUAACGCUAAGAGAGUGCACAGAAAGCAGAAGGCAGCUGCCUCAAAUAGUUGGAAAUUAGCGUGUGGUAACCAACAACUAUUAUUAUUGUAUUACUGCUGUAAUUCCCAAAUGGAGAGUUAAAUUUCUACAACAGAUACAGCUUUUAACCAAAAAAAGGGGGGGGGGAGGGGGGGAGUGUGAUUUUUUUUUUAUUUUUUUUAUUUUUUUUCCCUAGGAAGGAAUGCUCUUUUAUUAAAUGAUAGAACUGAAUGUACAUUUCCCAAACGAAGGGAAGAAAAAAAAAAACAGCCUUGCAGGAGUCCUCAUCAUGGGCCUUCAGCUUCUCAGCAGCUGCCCCUGUAAGGUUGCUUGAGUUUGAAAUAAGUGGAAAACAUGGACCUGUUGGAUGUGGGAUUAUGUUGAAACAGUACAGCAGGAGUCCAAAUGGGAGAGGAAAUCUGUGCACAACCAGUGCCACCACGAGAUAAAUAAGCAGCAGGAACCAGGAGGAGGAGGAUCUGAGGAGCUGUGACCUUGCAUUGCUCUUGCUCUACAUGGCCAACUGCCUGAACUGAACGUAUACCCUUGUAACUCCGGAAUCUGAUUCAAGGGAAGAACUGCUCUUGGUGCCUGCAACCAGUGGUAGAUACAUUGUGACAUGACUGAUUUGCAGCAGGAGUAACCAGGGGCCUAACAAAAGCCUUGACGGAAAACCACCCAAAGGCAAACCUGCUGCGAUUAGAUUCAGAUCAGUGUGAGAAAAGAUGUCCACACCAUGUUCAUUCCCAUCCCUGUCUUCUCCAGAUAAUGUGCUUCCUUGGAGCUGCCAAGAGAAAACGCAUUCCCACGGUAUCAUCAAAGGAGCUGUGUCCAGCACCAGUUUUUCCUACCAACCAGAUCAACGGGCUGAGUGUGGCAGCUCUGUACAGCAGCUCUCGUGACUCCAGCUGAUACAUUCACAUCAUGAGAAGGUCCGG